Molecule: ribosomal RNA, 492 nt
Filed under: uncultured bacterium
Lineage: Bacteria
Description: partial 16S ribosomal RNA
Rfam family: Bacterial small subunit ribosomal RNA
Source: RNAcentral
AGUGAACGCUGGCGGUAGGCCUAACACAUGCAAGUCGAACGGCAGCACAGUAAGAGCUUGCUCUUACGGGUGGCGAGUGGCGGACGGGUGAGGAAUACAUCGGAAUCUACUUUUUCGUGGGGGAUAACGUAGGGAAACUUACGCUAAUACCGCAUACGACCUACGGGUGAAAGCAGGGGAUCUUCGGACCUUGCGCGAUUGAAUGAGCCGAUGUCGGAUUAGCUAGUUGGCGGGGUAAAGGCCCACCAAGGCGACGAUCCGUAGCCGGUCUGAGAGGAUGAUCAGCCACACUGGAACUGAGACACGGUCCAGACUCCUACGGGAGGCAGCAGUGGGGAAUAUUGGACAAUGGGCGCAAGCCUGUUCCAGCCAUACCGCGUGGGUGAAGAAGGCCUUCGGGUUGUAAAGCCCUUUUGUUGGGAAAGAAAAGCAGCAGGUUAAUACCCCGCUGUUCUGACGGUACCCAAAGAAUAAGCACCGGCUAACUUCGUG